RNAcentral lists this unclassified non-coding RNA (794 nucleotides) under Hevea brasiliensis (rubber tree). The record is from RNAcentral. Lineage: Eukaryota; Viridiplantae; Streptophyta; Magnoliopsida; Malpighiales; Euphorbiaceae.
GCCCUUUAUUCGAAUGGUGGUUUCAGCUUCCUUCCCCAUACCAUAGAAAAAGGGUUUUCCGGCCCUCUAGGUCGAGGAGCGGAUAAGGUAUUUCUCCAUUUGAUGCUGGAGGAGUGCGUGCGAGACUUCCGGAUGCGGAAAUCCCGCGAUAGCUGCUUCUUUCAUUUCUUGUAUAGAGCAUUUUUGUACCCAUUUUUAUUCGUAGUAGGUGCCUUCAUGGGUCGGGCCAGAGUGUCGUUGAUAAGCUCUAACGCUGGAGCGAUGGUAUGAGUCGGACUGCAGGCGCGGGUUGGACCGUGGGGGCGUAGACUAGUUUGCAGGCAUGGGCCGAACCGCGUGCAUGGACUGGAUCAUGGACGCGAGUCAGGAAUGCUCUUUUUUCUUUAUCUGCCGCGACCGCAUACGAGGGCACAUUGUCCCACUAAAAUCUCCCAUCUAAUUUUUCUUGUUAUUUUCCCGAUCGUCGAAUGCGAGAUCGGAAGGCGUAGCAAUUUGAAUCACGCCGCAUCGCAAAAAAGUAAACUCUCGGGCAGCGGUUGUUGUAGUCUCGGGUUUCUUGUAGCUUUGGGGAUUGGUAAAUUACUUUCUUCCUGCAAUAACGGCAGAACCAUUGAUCAUCUUCAUCUUCGGGCUGCACUUGGUAGUCAGACUUCGGUAAUUUCAGCAUAUCAUUGCCUAUAUCCUAUAUAAAUAUAAAGGGCUCGUUUGACUUUGAGCUCUUCUUGAUGUCAAAGUGCAAAUCCUUUCGAUGACCUUCUUUCUUCCCUUUGUCUUUGCUACCUUUAGGAGGUCUC